CUUUAAUAGCGCCCGUGUGUCACUAUAUAAACACUACUGUGUCUUUAAAACAGUAUUUGAUUCUAUUCUCCGGUUGGAAUUUAUUCACUCAGGGCUUUCAAAAUCGACGGGAAAUGGCAACUUUACUGGAACAGUUACUGGUAUUCGUGAUUGUCCUGAUGUGCCUGGUAUUCAUAUUUUCACCUGUCGCUGCACAGGACGACAGGUACAGAUGGACUGCCGAUGACUUUAACAGGAACGGGAAUAACAAUUGGUUCUGGGGUAAUUAGCCGGACCAAAGUCACUUCCAACAACUCUCCGUUUUCUGACUUCAUUUAUCCUGCAUCGCAAUGUCACGGGGGACUUUUCUGAUAUUAUAGAUCUUAGAAAAUUCUUAUAUUACGACCUAUGACACCAACAGAAACUGAAAUAUGGCGUUAUUCUAUAACUGUAACACUGUUCUGAAUUGGUGUAUUGUAUACAUGUACUAAUAGCACUAGAAAUGUGUUUCAAACGUCUUUCUGCUGGAUUCAUAUAUUCUACAAGGCAAAUAAAGCAACUUUCUUGCUCUG
Molecule: long non-coding RNA, 551 nt
Organism: Mercenaria mercenaria
Lineage: Eukaryota; Metazoa; Mollusca; Bivalvia; Venerida; Veneridae
Exons: 3
Source: RefSeq, a predicted model, not a curated record